Molecule: ribosomal RNA, 2253 nt
Filed under: marine sediment metagenome
Description: bacterial LSU rRNA
Rfam family: Archaeal large subunit ribosomal RNA
Source: RNAcentral
CGUUCCGUCUAGAAACACGGGCCAGGGAGCUUGCUGUCAUGGCGAGCCUAAACCAAGAAUGGUGGAGGCGAAGGGAAACCGAGUUUUCGCAACCUCGUAAGAGGUGAGGAAAAGCGUGUGAAAGUGCGUAGAGUCAUGGCGGUAAGGCUAGAAGCCAGUCGAUCUAUUCCUGGGCUAGAUGAAGGCGGGCGAAAGCCCGCUGGAGGUCUUAAGACGUGCUGACGUGCAAAUCGUUGUUGUGACCUGGGAAUAGGGGUCAAAAACCAAUCUAGUCUGGCGAUCGCUAGUUCCAACCGAAGCGUCUCGCAGGGCGUGCUUUGCAGAGAUGGCAUUUCCGGUAGAGCACUGAUAGGGCGGCGCGGGAAAGAAAUUUCUCACCGUCCAUUCAAACUCCGAACGGAUAUGCAUCGUAGAAGCAAGGACACGGGUUCGUGUGACGUAAGGUUCACGACCGAAAGGGGUUUAACCCAGACCAAAGUUAAGGUCCCCAAAUUUUUGCUAAGUGUCAAGCCAAAGUGCGUGUUCGUGCCAAGACAGCAGGGAGGUAAGCUCAGAAGCAGCUAUCCUUUAAAAAGUGUGUAACAACUUACCUGCCGAGUGUGGGCGCCUCAAAAACGGACGGGGCUAAAGCAAAGUACCGAUACUUUGGAUAAUUAUUAUUUGAUAAUUCGUGGUAGGUUGGCGUAGUGAUUGGGACGAAGCUGGGCAGUGAUGUCCUGUGGACCAAUUUCUAUUGCAGAUCCUGGUGGCAGUAACAGCAUAGUAUGGUGAGAAUCCAUACCACCGCAAGCGCAAGGGUUUCCAGGCAAUGCGUUUUCAGCCUGGAGUUAGUCGAUCCUAAGAGUUGCCUCAAAAGAGUAAUUCGAAAGGGAAACUAGUUAAUAUUCUAGUACCUUGUUGCAAGCGUUUGAGCUAUAUGGUUUGCUUCCGGAUAGGGAUUGUAUAACCGUCGUUGUAUCUAACUGUUCGAGAGUUGGGGAGUGUCGUAAUGACGAGAACCGAUUCGAGGCAGGAAUGGCUUCGCGUUAGCGGAGUUUUCUCAAUUCCAGGAGACCAUGAAAGACUGUAUAGUUAGCGUGUAGCAAGCUCGUACCCAGAUCCGACACAGGUGCGCUGGAUUAGUAAUCUAAGGUGCUACGGGUAUACCGUAUGGCGAGGGAAUUCGGCAAAUUAGUCCUGUAGCUUCGGUAUAAGGGAUGCCUGCUGUCUUCAUGAGGAAUGGGGAUAGCAGGUUGCAAUGACAAGGGGGUCCCGACUGUUUAAUAAAAACACAGGUGACUGCUAGUCCGAAAGGAUUUGUAUAGUCACUGAAUCCUGGCCGGUGCUGGUACCUAAAACUUGGGUUCAACCGAGCUAAGGGCCAGUUAACGCCGGGAGUAACUCUGACUCUCUUAAGGUAGCCAAAUGCCUUGUCGGGUAAGUUCCGACGCGCAUGAAUGGAACAACGAGAGCCCCACUGUCCCCGCCUACAACCCGGUGAAGCCACAUAAGGUGGACGAACAGUCCAUCAUCUUCCAUCGGGGAGAGAAGACCCCGUGGAGUUUUACUGCAGCUUGUGCUUGUGGUAUAGUAAAGAUUGCACAGAGUAUCUGGGAGCCAUGCUUAACGUUCUCCGGGAUGUUAAGAAGCGCCGAUGUAACACCAGACUCUUUUUGUAGUACCACUUAUCUGGUGAAGACCAGAAACAUGUGCUGGUGGGCAGUUCGGCUGGGGCGGCACCCCUUUGAAAAGAUAUCAAAGGGGCCCAAAGUUUAGUUCAAGCGGGUCAGAAAUCCGCUGAAGAGGGCAAAGCCAAAAACUAGACUGACUGGAUUUCCAAACGCACGGAAUUCAGAGACGAAAGUCGGGCUUAGCGAUCCUUCGUGUGCCCACUAUUGGGGCCCGGAGGUGACAGAAAAAUUACCCCAGGGAUAACAGGCUCGUCGCGGGCGAGAGCUCCUAUCGACCCCGCGGUUUGGUACCUCGAUGUCGGCUUUUCCUAUCCUGGUCCUGCAGCAGGGGCCAAGGGUGAGGCUGCUCGCCUAUUAAAAGGGAACAUGAGCUGGGUUUAGACCGUCGUGAGACAGGUCGGUCUCUGCCUGAUGGAAGCGUGGAUGUCUGAGGGGAACUUGCUCCGAGUACGAGAGGAACAGAGCAGGGUGGCCACUGGUCUACCGGUUGUCUGAUAAGGCAGGCCGGGCAGCUAAGCCGUUUAGGCUAAGUGCUGAAAGCAUCUAAGCACGAAUCCUAUCCCGAGACAAGACAUCCUUUCGU